UCGCCGCCGCGUCACGUCGGCCAUUUCCAGUUUGACUGUCAGCGAAGUUGCAUGGUGUUGUGUUUUGUAAAUUGUAAAUCUCAAUUAUUUAAAAGUGUCCUGUAAUGGAGGAAAUAUACUUACUGCCCUGUAACUGACGUAAUGGCAAAGUUGCAAAAUCCAGUAACCUAUACCAUGGCCUUGGUCUGGCGUUCCCAUGUCACGUGGGCCAAAAAGAAGCAUCGUUAUUGGUAGGCAGGGCAGUGAGGCUAAAGGAAAGGAAACCAGUGCUGUUGCUAAGCGGCGAUCCCGUCCCGACCGUCUUUUAUUGCCUCGUCAGCUCUCGUCAAGACUGAUGUGUUAUUACUUCGGGUAACUGAUUGAAGGUAUAAAACUUGUAAGUUUUACAGUUUAAGAGUGUCCUACUAUUGUUUAAGUGCUUCAAGUUUUGAGUUGUUUAGUUUCAAUGAAGCACACUCACAGAUAAGUAAUUUUAUAUAAUUUUAUUUUUA
This is a long non-coding RNA of Anoplophora glabripennis (Asian longhorned beetle), 491 nucleotides long. RefSeq lists it as uncharacterized. NCBI's taxonomy places the organism in Eukaryota, Metazoa, Arthropoda, Insecta, Coleoptera, Cerambycidae. The record is from RefSeq and is a predicted model, not a curated record. The transcript has 2 exons.